CCUCCGUCCGCGUUUCGUUGUUGUUCAAUUUUAAGUGUUCGUUUUAUUUGAAUUUUUUUUAAUUAGUAUUUUUAUUGUUUUCAGAUGAUAAAACCUGAACAGUAUUUUAUAUGUGAUUUACUUUUUUUAUUUUUUUAAAAAAAUUUAAAUAAGAUAAAUAAUUAAAGUUGGAUAAAAAACUUAUCACUACGUUUAAA
Molecule: microRNA precursor, 197 nt
Filed under: Oryza punctata
Lineage: Eukaryota; Viridiplantae; Streptophyta; Magnoliopsida; Poales; Poaceae
Description: MIR812 microRNA precursor family
Rfam family: MIR812 microRNA precursor family
Source: Rfam by way of RNAcentral